Molecule: ribosomal RNA, 463 nt
Filed under: uncultured bacterium
Lineage: Bacteria
Description: bacterial SSU rRNA
Rfam family: Bacterial small subunit ribosomal RNA
Source: RNAcentral
GACGACGCUGGCGGCGUGCUUAAAACAUGCAAGUCGAACGGACUUCUCAUGAAGCUUGCGAUUGAGAAGUUAGUGGCGGACGGGUGAGUAACGCGUGGGCAACCUGCCCCUGAGCCCGGGAUAACAGUUCGAAAGGACUGCUAAGACCGGAUAUACUUGCGGGGAAGCAUUCACUGCAAGGAAAGGGAACGCUCAGGGAUGGGCCCGCGUCCCAUUAGCUAGUUGGUGAGGUAACGGCCCACCAAGGCGACGAUGGGUAGCCGGCCUGAGAGGGUGAACGGCCACACUGGGACUGAGACACGGCCCAGACUCCUACGGGAGGCAGCAGUUGGGAAUCUUCGGCAAUGGGCGCAAGCCUGACCGAGCAACGCCGCGUGAGUGAUGAAGGUUUUCGGAUUGUAAAGCUCUGUCUUCCGGGACGAUAAUGACGGUACCGGAGGAGGAAGCCACGGCUAACUACGUG